GCGGGGCUGGACAGCUCCCCUCGUAACCCCAGAACCGGGAUCCAUUUCCUGGGCUCGGCAGCCUGGCGCCCAGGACUCGCUCCGGUCUCCGAGCAUCUGCUCCCGGGACUCGAGUCGCCUCUUCCCUUUGAUGGGGAGGUGGACAGAGGUGGAGAAAGAAAACAUGGUGGAGAAGGAGAUUUCUGGAUGAUAAGAUGGGAAGAGGAAGCAAGGAGAGGCAGAAAACAAAACCAGCCGUUUCCACUGGGCUUGGGGCUUGGGAAGAGAGGGAAGUGCUUCUGGUCCAGCUGAACAUUGACCUGAGAUUCCUGGUCCCAACCUAGACUGACUUCACCUGGCGUCCUCAUCUCCAGAAUGAUCGCACAUUUGGUAUAAGAAACAUGACCACUUCUCAGAGGGAAAAAUGGUUAUUGGCGAAAACUUUGGCUCUCAGGCUGGACCAUGACAUCACAUGACAGAGGCUGUUUUUCUGAAGGAAAAAAAAAACAAACCCAGGCCAGAUUUACAAGAACAACGAUCAGAAAGAGGGCCUUGGCCAAGUGACCACAGCACACGCCCAGCAGUGCUGAGAACACUGCCGGUCCCUCAGCACUUGAGGAUGACUCAUGGUUGC
Molecule: long non-coding RNA, 613 nt
Organism: Hipposideros armiger (great roundleaf bat)
Lineage: Eukaryota; Metazoa; Chordata; Mammalia; Chiroptera; Hipposideridae
Exons: 5
Source: RefSeq, a predicted model, not a curated record